CAUGGUUCUGGGUCAGGCAUUUGCAAAUUUGUACAUUUUGAGGAAGUACAAGCUUAGAGUUGUUUUUUUUCUAUGUUCAAUCACUGGUCCAUGU
This is a non-coding RNA of Turdus rufiventris (rufous-bellied thrush), 94 nucleotides long. Lineage: Eukaryota; Metazoa; Chordata; Aves; Passeriformes; Turdidae. The record is from the annotation of a GenBank genome assembly.